This 471-nucleotide ribosomal RNA is filed under the name uncultured bacterium. RNAcentral's name for it is "bacterial SSU rRNA". It matches the Rfam family "Bacterial small subunit ribosomal RNA", at positions 16 to 507 of the family's 1533-position model. The record is from RNAcentral.
AUCCUGGCUCAGGACGAACGCUGCGGCGUGCCUAACACAUGCAAGUCGAACGGAGUUGAGACUUCGGUUUAACUUAGUGGCGAACGGGUGAGUAACGCGUGAGAAACCUGCCUUUCAGUGGGGGACAACAGUUGGAAACGCCGGCUAAUACCCCAUGGUGAUGGUUUGAGGCAUCUCUUUCCAUCUAAAGAAUUUCGGAAACGGAUAGGCUCGCGUGACAUUAGCUAGAUGGCGGGUAACGGCCCACCAUGGCGACGAUCAGUAGCCGGUCUGAGAGGAUGAACGGCCACAUUGGGACUGAGAUACGGCCCAGACUCCUACGGGAGGCAGCAGUGGGGAAUAUUGGGCAAUGGGGGAAACCCUGACCCAGCAACGCCGCGUGAAGGAAGAAGGCCCUCGGGUUGUAAACUUCUUUUACCAGGGACGAAGAACGUGACGGUACCUGGAGAAAAAGCAACGGCUAACUACGUG